Molecule: small RNA, 147 nt
Organism: Rhizobium sp. Leaf306
Lineage: Bacteria; Pseudomonadati; Pseudomonadota; Alphaproteobacteria; Hyphomicrobiales; Rhizobiaceae
Rfam family: Alphaproteobacterial sRNA ar9
Source: Rfam
ACAAAAGAGGCAAGGAGUUCAAAUUCUUGCCAGUUCGCGGUCAAGUCUUGGGAGGAUCAGAUCUCUGGCGCGCUCGUCGCAGCCCCGGUAACGGAAUGAGUAUCACGCGAAACUGAAAAACAAGGCUUAACCGCCUUGUUUUUUUUU